This is a non-coding RNA of Schistosoma curassoni, 46 nucleotides long. The record is from Rfam. Lineage: Eukaryota; Metazoa; Platyhelminthes; Trematoda; Strigeidida; Schistosomatidae.
AUCCAGAUGACGAGUGCCAGAGUAGGACGAAACGCACAUCCUGGAU